GGGUCGGUACCGAAGCGGUCAACCGGGGCAGACUGUAAAUCUGCUGGCUCAGCCUUCGUAGGUUCGAAUCCUACCCGGCCCA
RNAcentral lists this transfer RNA (82 nucleotides) under Candidatus Magasanikbacteria bacterium RIFOXYD2_FULL_41_14. RNAcentral describes it as "tRNA-Tyr". It matches the Rfam family "tRNA". From Rfam's summary of the family: Transfer RNA (tRNA) molecules are approximately 80 nucleotides in length. The record is from RNAcentral. Lineage: Bacteria; Candidatus Magasanikiibacteriota.